GAUGAACGCUGGCGGCGUGCCUAAUACAUGCAAGUCGAACGAACGGACGAGGAGCUUGCUUCUCUGAUGUUAGCCGCACACGGGUGAGUAACACGUGUAUAACCUACCUAUCAGACUGGGAUAACUUCGGAAAACCGUAGCUAAUCCCGGAUAAUAUUUUGAACCGCAUGGUUCAAAAGUAAAAGACGGUCUUGCUGUCACUUAUAGAUGGAUACGCGCUGCAUUAGCUAGUUGGUAAGGUAACGGCUUACCAAGGCAACGAUGCAUAGCCGACCUGAGAGAGUGAUAGGCCACAUUGGAGCUGAGCCACGGUCCAGACUCCUACGGGAGGCAGCAGUCGCGAAUCGUCCGCAAUGGUGGAAAGCAUGACGCAGCAACGCCGCGUGAGUUAUGACGGUCUUCGGAUCGGAAAACUCUGUUAUUAGUGAUGAACAUAUUUGUAAGUUACUGUGCACAUCUUGACGGUACCGAAUCAGAAAGCACCGGCUAACUACGUG
RNAcentral lists this ribosomal RNA (497 nucleotides) under uncultured bacterium. RNAcentral's name for it is "partial 16S ribosomal RNA". It matches the Rfam family "Bacterial small subunit ribosomal RNA", at positions 28 to 507 of the family's 1533-position model. The record is from RNAcentral.